Danio rerio (zebrafish) is the source of this 93-nucleotide non-coding RNA. Lineage: Eukaryota; Metazoa; Chordata; Actinopteri; Cypriniformes; Danionidae. The record is from Rfam.
CAUUGUGUUCACAGCCCACUGAAGCUAAGCAGGGCUGCGCCUGGUCAGUACCUGGAUGGAAGACCACAUGGGAAAGCUAGGUUGCUGCCGGAA